This 464-nucleotide ribosomal RNA is filed under the name Vreelandella stevensii. RNAcentral describes it as "partial 16S ribosomal RNA". It matches the Rfam family "Bacterial small subunit ribosomal RNA", at positions 338 to 795 of the family's 1533-position model. The record is from RNAcentral. Lineage: Bacteria; Pseudomonadati; Pseudomonadota; Gammaproteobacteria; Oceanospirillales; Halomonadaceae.
CCUACGGGUGGCAGCAGUGGGGAAUAUUGGACAAUGGGGGCAACCCUGAUCCAGCCAUGCCGCGUGUGUGAAGAAGGCCCUCGGGUUGUAAAGCACUUUCAGUGAGGAAGAACACCUGGUGGUUAAUACCAUCAGGAAAGACAUCACUCACAGAAGAAGCACCGGCUAACUCCGUGCCAGCAGCCGCGGUAAUACGGAGGGUGCGAGCGUUAAUCGGAAUUACUGGGCGUAAAGCGCGCGUAGGUGGCUUGAUAAGCCGGUUGUGAAAGCCCCGGGCUCAACCUGGGAACGGCAUCCGGAACUGUCAAGCUAGAGUGCAGGAGAGGAAGGUAGAAUUCCCGGUGUAGCGGUGAAAUGCGUAGAGAUCGGGAGGAAUACCAGUGGCGAAGGCGGCCUUCUGGACUGACACUGACACUGAGGUGCGAAAGCGUGGGUAGCAAACAGGAUUAGAUACCCGGGUAGUC